This 75-nucleotide transfer RNA is filed under the name Bacteroidota bacterium. RNAcentral's name for it is "Bacteroidetes bacterium (activated sludge metagenome) tRNA-Lys". It matches the Rfam family "tRNA". From Rfam's summary of the family: Transfer RNA (tRNA) molecules are approximately 80 nucleotides in length. Their secondary structure includes four short double-helical elements and three loops (D, anti-codon, and T loops). The record is from RNAcentral. Lineage: Bacteria; Pseudomonadati; Bacteroidota.
UGAUCUGUAGCUCAGCAUGGAGGCAGCACCGCUCUUUUAAAGCGGGGGUCGUGGGUUCGAGCCCCACCGGGUCAA